Molecule: ribosomal RNA, 194 nt
Filed under: uncultured bacterium
Lineage: Bacteria
Description: partial 16S ribosomal RNA
Rfam family: Bacterial small subunit ribosomal RNA
Source: RNAcentral
ACUCCUAUGGGAGGCAGCAGUGAGGAAUAUUGGUCAAUGGUCGCAAGACUGAACCAGCCAUGCCGCGUGCAGGAAGACGGUUCUAUGGAUUGUAAACUGCUUUUAUACAGGAAGAAACCCUCCCACGUGUGGGAGCUUGACGGUACUGUAGGAAUAAGGAUCGGCUAACUCCGUGCCAGCAGCCGCGGUAAUAC